AACGCGAAGAACCUUACCAGCUCUUGACAUGUCCCGUAUGAGUACCAGAGAUGGAACUCUUCAGUUCGGCUGGCGGGAACACAGGUGCUGCAUGGCUGUCGUCAGCUCGUGUCGUGAGAUGUUGGGUUAAGUCCCGCAACGAGCGCAACCCUCGCCCUUAGUUGCCAUCAUUUAGUUGGGCACUCUAAGGGGACUGCCGGUGAUAAGCCGCGAGGAAGGUGGGGAUGACGUCAAGUCCUCAUGGCCCUUACGGGCUGGGCUACACACGUGCUACAAUGGCGGUGACAGUGGGAUGCAGAGGGGUAACCCCGAGCAAAUCUCAAAAAAGCCGGUCUCAGUUCGGAUUGGGGUCUGCAACUCGACCCCAUGAAGUCGGAGUCGCUAGUAAUCGCGAAUCAGCAACGUCGCGGUGAAUACGUUCCCGGGCCUUGUACUACACCGGCUAC
This 446-nucleotide ribosomal RNA is filed under the name uncultured bacterium. RNAcentral's name for it is "bacterial SSU rRNA". It matches the Rfam family "Bacterial small subunit ribosomal RNA", at positions 958 to 1386 of the family's 1533-position model. The record is from RNAcentral.